Molecule: transfer RNA, 89 nt
Filed under: Oscillospiraceae bacterium
Lineage: Bacteria; Bacillati; Bacillota; Clostridia; Eubacteriales; Oscillospiraceae
Also listed under: 1 other name
Description: tRNA-Ser
Rfam family: tRNA
About the family: Transfer RNA (tRNA) molecules are approximately 80 nucleotides in length. Their secondary structure includes four short double-helical elements and three loops (D, anti-codon, and T loops).
Source: RNAcentral
GGAGAGUUAUCGAAGCGGUCAUAACGAGGCGGUCUUGAAAACCGUUUGACGGCAACGUCACGUGGGUUCGAAUCCCACACUCUCCGCCA